Molecule: ribosomal RNA, 468 nt
Filed under: uncultured bacterium
Lineage: Bacteria
Description: partial 16S ribosomal RNA
Rfam family: Bacterial small subunit ribosomal RNA
Source: RNAcentral
GACGAACGCUGGCGGCGUGCUUAACACAUGCAAGUCGAACGGAAAGGCCCUGCUUUUGUGGGUCGCUCGAUUGGCGAACGGGUGAGUAACACGCGUGUAACCUGCCCCUGACUUUGGGAUAACUUUAGGAAACUGGGGCUAAUAUCGGAUAGGAGCUCCUGCUGCACGGUGGGGGUUGGUAAGUUUCGGCGGUUGGGGCUGGACUCGCGGCUUAUCAGCUUGUUGGUGGGGUAGUGGCUUACCAAGGCUUUGACGGGUAGCCGGCCUGGGAGGGUGACCGGCCACAUUGGGACUGAGAUACGGCCCAGACUCCUACGGGAGGCAGCAGUGGGAAAUAUUGCACAAUGGGCGGAAGCCUGAUACAGCAACGCCGCGUGCGGGAUGACGGCCUUCGAGUUGUAAACCGCUUUCGCCUGUGACGAAGCGUGAGUGACGGUAAUGGGUAAAGAAGCACCGGCUAACUACGUG